GAUGAACGCUGGCGGCGUGCCUAAUACAUGCAAGUCGAGCGAACGGACGAGAAGCUUGCUUCUCUGAUGUUAGCGGCGGACGGGUGAGUAACACGUGGAUAACCUACCUAUAAGACUGGGAUAACUUCGGGAAACCGGAGCUAAUACCGGAUGAUAUUUUGAACCGCAUGGUUCAAAAGUGAAAGACGGUCUUGCUGUCACUUAUAGAUGGAUCCGCGCUGCAUUAGCUAGUUGGUAAGGUAACGGCUUACCAAGGUAACGAUGCAUAGCCGACCUGAGAGGGUGAUCGGCCACACUGGAACUGAGACACGGUCCAGACUCCUACGGGAGGCAGCAGGAGGGAAUCUUCCGCAAUGGGCGAAAGCCUGACGGAGCAACGCCGCGUGAGUGAUGAAGGUCUUCGGAUCGUAAAACUCUGUUAUUAGGGAAGAACAUAUGUGUAAGUAACUGUGCACAUCUUGACGGUACCUAAUCAGAAAGCCACGGCUAACUACGU
RNAcentral lists this ribosomal RNA (496 nucleotides) under uncultured bacterium. RNAcentral's name for it is "partial 16S ribosomal RNA". It matches the Rfam family "Bacterial small subunit ribosomal RNA", at positions 28 to 506 of the family's 1533-position model. The record is from RNAcentral.